UCCCAGUUAGUACAACGGUUAGUAUACGGCACUUUCACUGCUGAGAUCGGGGUUCGAUUCCCCGGCCGGGAA
This is a transfer RNA of 72 nucleotides. It matches the Rfam family "tRNA". Rfam says of the family: Transfer RNA (tRNA) molecules are approximately 80 nucleotides in length. Their secondary structure includes four short double-helical elements and three loops (D, anti-codon, and T loops). The record is from Rfam.